Molecule: ribosomal RNA, 1885 nt
Filed under: Yersinia pestis
Lineage: Bacteria; Pseudomonadati; Pseudomonadota; Gammaproteobacteria; Enterobacterales; Yersiniaceae
Description: partial 23S ribosomal RNA
Rfam family: Bacterial large subunit ribosomal RNA
Source: RNAcentral
GGGUUGUGAGGUUAAGCGACUAAGCGUACACGGUGGAUGCCUAGGCAGUCAGAGGCGAUGAAGGGCGUGCUAAUCUGCGAAAAGCGUCGGUAAGCUGAUAUGAAGCGUUAUAACCGACGAUACCCGAAUGGGGAAACCCAGUGCAAUACGUUGCACUAUCGUUAGAUGAAUACAUAGUCUAACGAGGCGAACCGGGGGAACUGAAACAUCUAAGUACCCCGAGGAAAAGAAAUCAACCGAGAUUCCCCCAGUAGCGGCGAGCGAACGGGGAGGAGCCCAGAGUCUGAAUCAGUUUGUGUGUUAGUGGAAGCGUCUGGAAAGUCGCACGGUACAGGGUGAUAGUCCCGUACACCAAAAUGCACAGGCUGUGAACUCGAUGAGUAGGGCGGGACACGUGACAUCCUGUCUGAAUAUGGGGGGACCAUCCUCCAAGGCUAAAUACUCCUGACUGACCGAUAGUGAACCAGUACCGUGAGGGAAAGGCGAAAAGAACCCCGGCGAGGGGAGUGAAAUAGAACCUGAAACCGUGUACGUACAAGCAGUGGGAGCACCUUCGUGGUGUGACUGCGUACCUUUUGUAUAAUGGGUCAGCGACUUAUAUUUUGUAGCAAGGUUAACCGAAUAGGGGAGCCGUAGGGAAACCGAGUCUUAACUGGGCGUCUAGUUGCAAGGUAUAGACCCGAAACCCGGUGAUCUAGCCAUGGGCAGGUUGAAGGUUGGGUAACACUAACUGGAGGACCGAACCGACUAAUGUUGAAAAAUUAGCGGAUGACUUGUGGCUGGGGGUGAAAGGCCAAUCAAACCGGGAGAUAGCUGGUUCUCCCCGAAAGCUAUUUAGGUAGCGCCUCGUGAACUCAUCUUCGGGGGUAGAGCACUGUUUCGGCUAGGGGGCCAUCCCGGCUUACCAAACCGAUGCAAACUCCGAAUACCGAAGAAUGUUAUCACGGGAGACACACGGCGGGUGCUAACGUCCGUCGUGAAGAGGGAAACAACCCAGACCGCCAGCUAAGGUCCCAAAGUCAUGGUUAAGUGGGAAACGAUGUGGGAAGGCACAGACAGCCAGGAUGUUGGCUUAGAAGCAGCCAUCAUUUAAAGAAAGCGUAAUAGCUCACUGGUCGAGUCGGCCUGCGCGGAAGAUGUAACGGGGCUAAACCAUGCACCGAAGCUGCGGCAGCGACACUUAGGUGUUGUUGGGUAGGGGAGCGUUCUGUAAGCCGUUGAAGGUGACCUGUGAGGGUUGCUGGAGGUAUCAGAAGUGCGAAUGCUGACAUAAGUAACGAUAAUGCGGGUGAAAAACCCGCACGCCGGAAGACCAAGGGUUCCUGUCCAACGUUAAUCGGGGCAGGGUGAGUCGACCCCUAAGGCGAGGCUGAAAAGCGUAGUCGAUGGGAAACAGGUUAAUAUUCCUGUACUUGGUGUUACUGCGAAGGGGGGACGGAGAAGGCUAGGCUGGCCGGGCGACGGUUGUCCCGGUUUAAGCGUGUAGGGGGAGUGACCAGGUAAAUCCGGUUGCUUAUCAACCCUGAGGCGUGAUGACGAUGCACCACGGUGCAGAAGCAGUUGAUGCCAUGCUUCCAGGAAAAGCCUCUAAGCAUCAGGUAACAUUAAAUCGUACCCCAAACCGACACAGGUGGUCAGGUAGAGAAUACUCAGGCGCUUGAGAGAACUCGGGUGAAGGAACUAGGCAAAAUGGUGCCGUAACUUCGGGAGAAGGCACGCUGGCGUUAGGUGAAAGGACUAGCUCCUGGAGCUGAAGCCAGUCGCAGAUACCAGCUGGCUGCAACUGUUUAAUAAAAACACAGCACUGUGCAAACACGAAAGUGGACGUAUACAGUGUGACGCCUGCCCGGUGCUGGAAGGUUAAUUGAUGGGGUCAGCCGCAAGG